UCUAAAUAAUAAAAAAAACGAUAAAAGUCUAACAUGAAAAAAUAU
Molecule: non-coding RNA, 45 nt
Filed under: Leishmania donovani
Lineage: Eukaryota; Euglenozoa; Kinetoplastea; Trypanosomatida; Trypanosomatidae
Source: RNAcentral